CGCGCUGCUGGGCGAGGCCGGGCCCGGCGAGCUGCUGCCGCGCCGGCUGCUGAUCCUCGGCGGCGAGGCGUCC
This 73-nucleotide transfer RNA is filed under the name Nonomuraea coxensis DSM 45129. Its description in RNAcentral is "tRNA-Ser". The record is from RNAcentral. Lineage: Bacteria; Bacillati; Actinomycetota; Actinomycetes; Streptosporangiales; Streptosporangiaceae.